This 253-nucleotide ribosomal RNA is filed under the name uncultured bacterium. RNAcentral's name for it is "partial 16S ribosomal RNA". It matches the Rfam family "Bacterial small subunit ribosomal RNA", at positions 524 to 776 of the family's 1533-position model. The record is from RNAcentral.
UACGUAGGGGGCAAGCGUUGUCCGGAAUCAUUGGGCGUAAAGCGCGUGUAGGCGGCUUGGUAAGUCCGCUCUGAAAGCCCGGGGCUCAACCCCGGGAGGCGGGUGGAUACUGUCAAGCUCGAGUCCGGAAGAGGCGAGUGGAAUUCCUGGUGUAGCGGUGAAAUGCGCAGAUAUCAGGAGGAAUACCAAUGGCGAAGGCAGCUCGCUGGGACGUGACUGACGCUGAGACGCGAAAGCGUGGGGAGCGAACAGG